AGGGUAGCAAUACCUGAGUACUGUGGCGCACGGGUGAGUAACACGUGAAUUAUCUACCUUCGAGUGGGGAAUAACUGCGGAGAAAUCUCAGCUAAUACCGCAUAACACUUACGAGUCAAAGCAGCAAUGCGCUUGAAGAGGAGUUCGCGGCAGAUUAGUUAGUUGGCGGGGUAAUGGCCCACCAAGACAGUGAUCGGUAUCCGGCCUGAGAGGGCGCACGGACACACUGGAACUGAAACACGGUCCAGACUCCUACGGGAGGCAGCAGUGGGGAAUUUUGCGCAAUGGGGGAAACCCUGACGCAGCAACGCCGCGUGGAGGAUGAAGUCUCUUGGGACGUAAACUCCUUUCGAUUGGGAAGAUAAUGACGGUACCAAUAGAAGAAGCCCCGGCUAACUUCGUGCCAGCAGCCGCGGUAAUACGAGGGGGGCAAGCGUUGUUCGGAAUUAUUGGGCGUAAAGGGCGCGUAGGCGGUUUGGCAAGUUUGGUGUGAAAUCUUCGGGCUCAACUCGAAGUCUGCAUCGAAAACUGCCGGGCUUGAGUAUGGGAGAGGUGAGUGGAAUUUCCGGUGUAGCGGUGAAAUGCGUAGAUAUCGGAAGGAACACCUGUGGCGAAAGCGGCUCACUGGACCA
This 632-nucleotide ribosomal RNA is filed under the name uncultured bacterium. RNAcentral describes it as "bacterial SSU rRNA". It matches the Rfam family "Bacterial small subunit ribosomal RNA", at positions 73 to 736 of the family's 1533-position model. The record is from RNAcentral.